UCCGUUUUGUCAACGGCAGUCCGGCUAGAGUGCUCUUGCGUAGCAACUAACCGUAAGGGUUGCGCUCGUUGCGGGACUUAACCCAACAUCUCACGACACGAGCUGACGACAACCAUGCACCACCUGUCUCUACUUUCCCCGAAGGGCACCUAAUGUAUCUCUACUUCGUUAGUAGGAUGUCAAGUCCUGGUAAGGUUCUUCGCGUUGCUUCGAAUUAAACCACAUACUCCACUGCUUGUGCGGGCCCCCGUCAAUUCCUUUGAGUUUCAAUCUUGCGAUCGUACUCCCCAGGUGGGAUACUUAUUGUGUUAACUCCGGCACGGAAGGGGUCAGUCCUCCCACACCUAGUAUCCAUCGUUUACAGCGUGGACUAC
This 374-nucleotide unclassified non-coding RNA is filed under the name uncultured Oscillospiraceae bacterium. RNAcentral's name for it is "contains 16S-23S intergenic spacer region". Lineage: Bacteria; Bacillati; Bacillota; Clostridia; Eubacteriales; Oscillospiraceae. The record is from RNAcentral.